RNAcentral lists this ribosomal RNA (522 nucleotides) under Triticum aestivum (bread wheat). RNAcentral describes it as "partial small subunit ribosomal RNA". Lineage: Eukaryota; Viridiplantae; Streptophyta; Magnoliopsida; Poales; Poaceae. The record is from RNAcentral.
AUGGUGGCCGACCAGAGCGUCGUUCAGCAGGCGAACCAUAUGAACUCCAAAAGGAAUGAAAGCACAGGAUACAAAGACAAGAAAGGCAGCAUGUACCUGAUUCGCUUCACAAACGCCUGUCAAAGCGGCAACCACCUAAAACAGAAGCAAGCAGCAGCGGCUGAAGCCCUAUACAAAAUAAUAUGGAGGGGCUCACCAGUGAGGACUAAAGACCGCACCCAAGGCGUUCGUGUAGCGGAAGGGGAGAUGCAGCCGGGGUCGGGGCAUGAUUUGGAAGAUGAACUGCGCUCUGCUGAUGACCUGCAGCAAACUGCCGGUGCUGCUGGAGCUGCACCUCGAUCAGAAGCUGAGGCUGAGCCGGCCCCAUGGCGGACGCCGGCGGUGGCCGGAAGGCCUCCCCCUCUCCGUCAUGCUUCAACAGGCGCAACUCAGCAUCGACCUCUCCCUCAAGGGGCCCUACAUCUCCACCGCGUUUGCGCCGAUGGAGAAUGUCCUGGCCGACGUCGCCGGAGUCGCGAUUAG